RNAcentral lists this ribosomal RNA (774 nucleotides) under Klebsiella variicola. RNAcentral describes it as "bacterial SSU rRNA". It matches the Rfam family "Bacterial small subunit ribosomal RNA", at positions 34 to 805 of the family's 1533-position model. Lineage: Bacteria; Pseudomonadati; Pseudomonadota; Gammaproteobacteria; Enterobacterales; Enterobacteriaceae. The record is from RNAcentral.
GGGUGGCGGCAGCUACACAUGCAGUCGAGCGGUAGCACAGAGAGCUUGCUCUCGGGUGACGAGCGGCGGACGGGUGAGUAAUGUCUGGGAAACUGCCUGAUGGAGGGGGAUAACUACUGGAAACGGUAGCUAAUACCGCAUAACGUCGCAAGACCAAAGUGGGGGACCUUCGGGCCUCAUGCCAUCAGAUGUGCCCAGAUGGGAUUAGCUGGUAGGUGGGGUAACGGCUCACCUAGGCGACGAUCCCUAGCUGGUCUGAGAGGAUGACCAGCCACACUGGAACUGAGACACGGUCCAGACUCCUACGGGAGGCAGCAGUGGGGAAUAUUGCACAAUGGGCGCAAGCCUGAUGCAGCCAUGCCGCGUGUGUGAAGAAGGCCUUCGGGUUGUAAAGCACUUUCAGCGGGGAGGAAGGCGAUGAGGUUAAUAACCUCAUCGAUUGACGUUACCCGCAGAAGAAGCACCGGCUAACUCCGUGCCAGCAGCCGCGGUAAUACGGAGGGUGCAAGCGUUAAUCGGAAUUACUGGGCGUAAAGCGCACGCAGGCGGUCUGUCAAGUCGGAUGUGAAAUCCCCGGGCUCAACCUGGGAACUGCAUUCGAAACUGGCAGGCUAGAGUCUUGUAGAGGGGGGUAGAAUUCCAGGUGUAGCGGUGAAAUGCGUAGAGAUCUGGAGGAAUACCGGUGGCGAAGGCGGCCCCCUGGACAAAGACUGACGCUCAGGUGCGAAAGCGUGGGGAGCAAACAGGAUUAGAACGGGGGGGUAUAAAUACAAA